UACGUAGGGGGCAAGCGUUGUCCGGAUUUAUUGGGCGUAAAGAGCGUGUAGGCGGCCAGGUAGGUCCGCUGUGAAAACUCGAGGCUCAACCUCGAGAUGUCGGCGGAAACCAUCUGGCUAGAGUCCGGAAGAGGAGAGUGGAAUUCCGCGUGUAGCAGUGAAAUGCGUAGAGAUGCGGAGGAACACCGAUGGCGAAGGCAGCCCCCUGGGCUAACACUGACGCUGAGGCACGAAAGCGUGGGGAGCAAACAGG
RNAcentral lists this ribosomal RNA (253 nucleotides) under uncultured bacterium. RNAcentral's name for it is "partial 16S ribosomal RNA". It matches the Rfam family "Bacterial small subunit ribosomal RNA", at positions 524 to 776 of the family's 1533-position model. The record is from RNAcentral.